UUAUUGCAGUCGUACUUUUCUGUGGCUCUUUAUCUGAGUUUGAUGCCUCCUCACAGCAUAAUUGAUAGGUUUACCCGACAGAUUACGCUCAACCUCGCGGGGUUCCCGCGAACCGCAUACAGGGAGACACAAGGGGCACUCUGAAGUAGUUAUUAACGUGCUCUAUUUAUCUGUUUGAGAUAGCACUAGUGCCAUGAACUCUUUGAUGGCCACAAGAAGUUGAAAAAUCGCGCCAAACUUAUCCACCAGUAAUACAGGAGUGAUGUGUCCUUAUUGAAGAAUGUGUUAGGUUAGGUGUGUAUGCAGAGGUGACUAUCUAGACUUCUGAAAAUAAGCGUCAAAAAUAAGGACAUGAAAACUUCUGCACAAUCACCGCCAUUGAAAAAGCCACAAAACAAGGCCUUGUACCGGCGCCAGUGAACCUACACUAAACUAAUCCUUCAAUUGGUGUAAAUGGUGCGCAAUGGAGCCUGUAAGUGCGGCCUAUGUGGUUUUCCGGGAUUUUUUGUCUUGAUUAUGUCUUCCUGUUCAUCAAAACUAAUAACUUACGGAGACGGGGCAAGUCUGCAUCUUCCCAUGCUUUUCAAAUAAAAACACCGGUAGUAAUACAAUGACUCUAGUCAUUUUCUUUUGAAUAUUGUGUAGUGAAUACUCACGAAACACAAGCCGUGCUCGAUAAAAAAGCUAGAAACAUCUACCAGUGUGGAUCAAAGAUGGCGGCCAUUUGACUCGUGAUCGAUUCAGUGCACAUUUGUUUCUCUAGAACGGCGUUAGCUCAGGUUAUAUUAUUAACUUAGCAUACCCUACGGCCAUGACUAGCCGAAAGUAUUCUCCAAGAUUUAGUGAUUUAUGAGAUGGCUCCACAAAUCUUUUUUCAGAGUCGAAACAAAGUGACGCCGGAGAUGCCGAUCUUUUUGCUUGGUUGAACGGGGCAUUGAUUAUUACAAAACCUAGGGAUCCUAUACCCUACUUCAGAUACUCCAGUAUCAACAAUUUAUCAAUUAUCAUUAAUCAAGAGUCCCAAAGGCUCAUGCACACAUUUCAAAGUUUAAGCUAGAAUUUACAGCAAUCCACUUUGCUUAAAUGCUGUUGGCACCAAGUGGUAUACCCUCAAGACAAGACUCAAUAAAAAACUCAAGUGUGCUUUUUUCGAUGUGUUAAAAUGCAAUGUGCAUCUAAUGAUCUAGUGUGUAGUGGGUGCUAGGGUUUGGUUUUUCAUUUGCAAAGAAAAGGCUAGAUCUGUAGAGAACGUGGCUUGUUUGCAGAAGAUAAUGCCAUCAAAGCAACGUUAUCUCUGGCGUCGCAUCUCAACCGAAAAGCCGAGUUCUCACGCGACUUAUCCCUUUGACUUUGAUUUUUUUCUAAAAAAAAAGAUUGUUUUAUUUACAUAAGUCCAUCCUAAGCAUCACGUAUUUGAACCUCAAAUACCAAGUUAUUUUGAGCCUUUUAUGGAUUCGAUACGGAAGAUUUUCUUUUUCUUUUGAUUUGACAAAGUUGUCUCUUACUCAUCUGACAAUAAGUCUCGGACUAAUUGUUCUAUUGAUCUCGAUCAUUAUUGAAGUCGGUGUUUUUGGACGGAUAUAGCGUUAAGCUCGAGAAUGUAUAAAAGCCACAGAUAACUUGCUCUAAUCUGCACUCGAAGAGGAUUAAUUAUUUCGGCAAGAGCCUCUAUCCCGCCCCCUUCGUGCUUGAACAAACAGAACAAGCCGAGACCGCUUUUUUACUCAAUUUCCUCAAUGUUUACCAAGGUAUUUACACAACUACAGUUAAAGAAAUAAAUUACAAAGUCCAUCAGACUAUUUGAAAUGCCUCUAUGGGUAACCUUUUGUCUAAUGUGGGUUUAAAAAUGGCCUAACAAAAUACUUGAUUAACUGCAUAGUUUGAAAGCUAAUAGUACUAAAUGAUUAUAUAAACAGGUUAAUUCAGAAGCAAUAAGACAUUAUUGGUUUUUGUAAUCGCUGUUGUGGUUAUCCAUGGAGUGCGCAUUGAAGUCGAUUUACUUCAACAGAAAGUGUGUCAAACUUCAGUAAUUUAACGCCGAACAAAGUUUUUUUGAAACCGCCUUCUACGGAUAUAGUUUAUACUUUUUCAGCUUUUUCAAGCUGUCUUAAAUAAUUGCAUUGGUCAGUGAAACUCUAAUUAGGGUAACAGGAAACAGACAAAUUGUGGCAUCCGUAGCAUCGGUUAUGUGUUAGUUACGAGUAUCUACUCUAGUCCGCGCUCCCGUAGCAAGUUCGUCUAUGUCAAUACAUCAGAGUGAGCUAAAGACUACAUACCAAGCUUCAUAAUUCCCUCCCAUAUUUUAUUGUUACAAUACUUGAGAGUUUUGAAGGAAUCUACGCUCUCAAGGUCCUCCACCUGGCCUCUGCUCCAGCCACCCAUUUUGCAUUUGCGAGGGGAGACAGGAGCUGAUAUUUCCACAGUUUGUCGGUCACUCUUUGCAAAUUAAGAGGUUAAAGCCUGGCUGGAAUGAGUGAAUGCCUUUCCCGCUGCGCUACGGAUCCUAAAGGUAUUAAAGCGGCCGACAAAGAUAUAGGUUUUCGUCUAAUUGGAAAUCCAUGUGAAUGCGGGCCUGUAUGGAGGGCGAUACGAGAAGAGCGAUCCGUCAUUUCUAGAAAUAGCCAGUUGAUGGCGUAAGCUGUUUCGUUUCGUCUCGGACUGAGGCUGUUUCUGAGCACUGACAUAUCACGCGGUUGCACAAACAUAGGCAAUAUAAAUAUCUGCAAUACUGCUAUCACACUUCCAAUUUAACCUUUGAAGUGCUUAAUUACAAACCUUCCAUCAUAUGAAAUCGAGAACCAUGCGUGCAGGGGUGGCUCCAAAAAUAAGCCGAAAAGCGUUCUCAAUUCCAAAGACGAAUUGUUGCAGUGUUUAUUUGUUUUUAGGUAUCUAAAAAUAAUAAUAGACUGCGGCCGGUUUUUAAUUAAAUUUUGUCGUUUGAUGUAUACGUGUACACGCCUCGGCCAGUUGUUACUAUAGCAAAUGCUUGACAUUUUUGACAAACUGUCCAUACAAAUAUCGGGUCUGCGUUAGCCCUGCUUACUGAAUUUGACAACACGGAGUUCGUGCCGGAUUUGUUGUGAUGGUGCUGUCUGUCCAGUUCAUGAAACGCACUUUCCAAAGAACCCUGUAUUGAGUAACACUUUCUGGUGCAGAAAAGGGCAUGGUUGUUUUACUUGAGUUUUUUCACACGAAGAAAAGAGAUAUCAAUCGCAGCGGACAGUUUAAUUAAAUAAGGCCUUCAAAAGCUAAGUAAAUAAACUUAAUGAAAAAAGCACACAAUAGGUGAGAGUAAU
This is a long non-coding RNA of Nematostella vectensis (starlet sea anemone), 3296 nucleotides long. RefSeq lists it as uncharacterized. The record is from RefSeq and is a predicted model, not a curated record. The transcript has 2 exons. Lineage: Eukaryota; Metazoa; Cnidaria; Anthozoa; Actiniaria; Edwardsiidae.